CGGUGCUGAAGAGCCUCAUUGCAAGGCAUGGAGUCCAUGGGAGCCUACCUGGUGCUGGAGAGCUUCCUUGCAAGAUAGGAAAAAUCAAGGCAUCAAGAGCUGAAUGCACCAGUAUGUGCUGAGCUCUGUGGAAAAGUAGAUGCCACUUGGACAAGAUCAGCCACUUGGGAACUG
Molecule: long non-coding RNA, 174 nt
Organism: Mastomys coucha (southern multimammate mouse)
Lineage: Eukaryota; Metazoa; Chordata; Mammalia; Rodentia; Muridae
Exons: 3
Source: RefSeq, a predicted model, not a curated record